GCAUGGACCAGCUGAACAUCCAUGCCGCGUGCAGGAUGAAGGCGCUCUGCGUUGUAAACUGCUUCUGUACGGGAAGAAUAUAUCGUUUGCGAACGGUUUUGACGGUACCGUAAGAAUAAGGAUCGGCUAACUACGUGCCAGCAGCCGCGGUAAUACGUAGGAUCCAAGCGUUGUCCGGAUUUAUUGGGUUUAAAGGGUGCGCAGGCGGCCUGAUAAGUCAGUGGUGAAAGCCCGUUGCUUAACAACGGAACUGCCAUUGAUACUGUCGGGCUUGAGUACAGUUGAGGUUGGCGGAAUGUAUCAUGUAGCGGUGAAAUGCUUAGAUAUGAUACAGAACACCGAUUGCGAAGGCAGCUGACUAAGCUGUUACUGACGCUCAGGCACGAAAGCGUGGGGAUCAAACAGGAUUAGAUACCCUGGUAGUCCACGCCGUAAACGUUGAUAACUCGAUGUUGGCGAUAUACUGUCAGCGUCUUAGCGAAAGCGUUAAGUUAUCCACCUGGGGAGUACGCCGGCAACGGUGAAACUCAAAGGAAUUGACGGGGGCG
Molecule: ribosomal RNA, 548 nt
Filed under: uncultured bacterium
Lineage: Bacteria
Description: bacterial SSU rRNA
Rfam family: Bacterial small subunit ribosomal RNA
Source: RNAcentral